This 462-nucleotide ribosomal RNA is filed under the name uncultured Cytophagaceae bacterium. RNAcentral describes it as "bacterial SSU rRNA". It matches the Rfam family "Bacterial small subunit ribosomal RNA", at positions 337 to 798 of the family's 1533-position model. Lineage: Bacteria; Pseudomonadati; Bacteroidota; Cytophagia; Cytophagales; Cytophagaceae. The record is from RNAcentral.
UCCUACGGGAGGCUGCAGUAGGGAAUAUUGGACAAUGGGUGAGAGCCUGAUCCAGCCAUGCCGCGUGCAGGAAGAAGGCGUUAUGCGUUGUAAACUGCUUUUGCCAGGGGAUAAAAAAGGCGUGCGCGCUUAAUUGAAGGUACCUGGUGAAUAAGCCACGGCUAACUACGUGCCAGCAGCCGCGGUAAUACGUAGGUGGCAAGCGUUGUCCGGAUUUAUUGGGUUUAAAGGGUGCGUAGGUGGCCCUGUAAGUCAGUGGUGAAAUAUCUCAGCUUAACUGAGAGGGUGCCAUUGAUACUGCAGGGCUUGAGUACAGAUGAGGUAGGCGGAAUUGACGGUGUAGCGGUGAAAUGCAUAGAUAUCGUCAAGAACACCGAUAGCGAAGGCAGCUUACCAAGCUGUAACUGACACUGAGGCACGAAAGUGUGGGGAUCAAACAGGAUUAGAUACCCGGGUAGUCGC